Chiroxiphia lanceolata (lance-tailed manakin) is the source of this 358-nucleotide long non-coding RNA. RefSeq lists it as uncharacterized. Lineage: Eukaryota; Metazoa; Chordata; Aves; Passeriformes; Pipridae. The transcript has 3 exons. The record is from RefSeq and is a predicted model, not a curated record.
AGAGAUUUCUCAGAAGAUUGACCGAGGUUGAAGAUGCAGCCAAGAGCACACGUUCUAAAAUAAAGAAUCUGGCCUAGUCUGCUGCAGCUUCACACUUGCUAGUGACAUCUUUCUUGUAAAUGUACUGUGACACUGCCACUAUGACUGAAUGGCCAUGUUUCCCAAGGCUGCUUCCAGACUGGCUGUCUCGAGAAGCAGGCUGAAUUCUGCUUCACUCACCUGAGUCUGUCUAGGAAGUACCUGUGGUUUGAUAUAUUGCAUGCAUAAUCUUUCUCUGCACGGAUUCUCCUAGUCUUCCCGUUGGUUUUAUUAAGGAUUACUACUUGUAGGUUUACUUGUUCUCUUUUUUCUUUUUAUG